This 364-nucleotide small RNA is filed under the name Oceanobacillus iheyensis HTE831. RNAcentral describes it as "cspA thermoregulator". It matches the Rfam family "cspA thermoregulator", at positions 84 to 428 of the family's 428-position model. The record is from Rfam by way of RNAcentral. Lineage: Bacteria; Bacillati; Bacillota; Bacilli; Caryophanales; Bacillaceae.
AUUUAUGUUCGGUAGAAAUACAGGAUAGAAUGUUUCAAUGUAACGAGCUUUUGUCUUGAUUGUAAACUUGAACUAAAUAGUAAUAUAUCGUGCAUUAUGCACAUGGAGGUUUUCAAUAUGAACACAGGUUCAGUAAAAUGGUUUAACGCAGAAAAAGGCUUCGGUUUCAUCGAAGUUGAAGGUGGAGACGAUGUAUUCGUACACUUCUCAGCAAUCCAAGGCGAAGGUUUCAAAACAUUAGAAGAAGGUCAAUCAGUUUCUUUCGAUAUCGAAGAAGGUAACCGUGGACCUCAAGCAGCUAACGUUGUUAAAAACUAAUUAGUUUGCUGAUUUAAAACCAUCGAUUUUUAUCGAUGGUUUUUUA